Brassica rapa (field mustard) is the source of this 1772-nucleotide long non-coding RNA. RefSeq lists it as uncharacterized. Lineage: Eukaryota; Viridiplantae; Streptophyta; Magnoliopsida; Brassicales; Brassicaceae. The record is from RefSeq and is a predicted model, not a curated record.
GGAUAACGUUAGUACUAGUAUCAAAUCUUACAAUACUAAAAGGAGAAUAAGCUCAAAGGAUAGGCAUGCCACCUCAGAUUAAAAAAUCGACCAAUAAGAGCUUUUCAGUUUACCACGUCACAUAGCUUGGUCCAUUUAAGAGAGUAAUUGGGCUUCACGUUUGUCUCUUAAAAACAAAUAAUGACCCAUUAUCCAGUCCAGUUUAAAAACCCUCCUCUCCUAUCAAUCGAUGAAGCCGACUCUUCAUUCCUUCUUCCCUGUUUCCGAUCUCAGCAACCACCGUUACCGCGAAUCCCCUUCUCAUCAAUCAAUGUUCCUCUUUAAUCUCUUCUUGAUGGUUUCAUUCCAUCUCUCGUUGAUCUUCCUCUUAUAUAAGUCGCUUCAUCUAAACCUAAAUCUAGACAAAACCUAAAAUCUCCCCUUACAAAACUACAUCUACGGCGAUGGAAUAGAGGUAGUAUAAUAUCAUCAUGUAGAAAUAUAACACAGUUUAUACUGGGUGGAUUUUGAUGUCCCUCUUCAACUUCCUACCUCUGAACGAGUGAUUUCUCACACCCACACGACAAGCACAAGUGGCUACAAAGAACGUCAUCGGAACACAUUUUCCAUCGGUAUAUGAGAACAUUGUGUUAUCCACUCAUUGAUUUGUGUCUCUCAGUGUUAUGUCUGAUAGUUUUUCCUAUCUUUCUUAACUCUCAUUCGGCAUAAAGUGUUGGCAGAAUUUCUAAUGUUUUCUUUACAGCCAAGAAAUCAUGGCAAGCUCAAGCUCGGCUCUUAAUUACGAGAUUACUAUGUUUCUUGGUGCUUACUUUUAUUGGUUCUUUUUCUUCAUGAUCAGUUGUGGUUUUCAAAUAUAGAUGAGUGUUGCCUAAUGAUUUUGUUCUACACUUAUGUUGUGCAGUUUACCUAGACUAACUUAGCUGAAGCUAUUGGUGCUUCCCUCCAGUCAAUAGAUGGUUACAUGUUUAUUAUGGAUCAGUACGUCUGCUACAAAUUUUAGACUUUCUCUAACCCAUCUUUUUUAUUCUGUAUGGUUUAUUGGGUAAGUAAAAUGUAGAGUAGUGCAGAAAAAUAGGAAAAUAUGAAUAAUAUUUUAGUGUUUGUAAAUCCUUUUUUAAUCUCUAUCUGCUUUUCAGAUUAUGACCGAGAAGAUUAAAACUGGUGCAUAUCUAAAUUGUCUAUGGAUUACCAACCACAUGAGUUUAGAGUAUUCGCCAACUCCAGUGGUACAUGCAUAGUACAUGUGGCAGAGGAGAUACAUGGAUACACCAACCAGCAACGUUUGUAUCAUCAGCAUUUUGUUUCCACCAAGAUGCGAGUCUAUAUUGGCAGUAGAGAGACCAGGAAGAGAGUCAUACAUCGGCAGUAGAGAGGAAUAAGAAAACGAGUUGGUGGACGCUAAAAGAGAUUGCCAUGUUGUACAUGAAGUCUAUUUUCAUGAAAUAUGGCAAUAACAGGAGGGGUGUCCUUUGGAUUUGGGAUUUUGGACGAGUACAUAGCAAAUGAGAGAGUAUGGCGUUUUUUCUUUGAAUUUGUUUUCGAAGAGCUCUUGAUCAAAUGGUGUGAACACUUAGCUUGAUUCUUUUGCCACCUAAUCUAUGCUACGUAUGACCUUCCUUCUUUAAGUUUGUCAUGUAAGCUGUGUAACAAACACUAGCCAUAAGCCUAACUAACGUUUUCUAUAGGAAAAGGUAUUUUUAUAUUUUUCUAUAUUGUGUGGGUGGAAAGAAGUAAUUCGGUAUUUAUUUGAGUUUUUGUUUUUUCAAAGCACA